RNAcentral lists this ribosomal RNA (2903 nucleotides) under Enterobacter hormaechei. Its description in RNAcentral is "23S ribosomal RNA". It matches the Rfam family "Bacterial large subunit ribosomal RNA". RNAcentral also lists the same sequence under 1 other name. The record is from RNAcentral. Lineage: Bacteria; Pseudomonadati; Pseudomonadota; Gammaproteobacteria; Enterobacterales; Enterobacteriaceae.
UUAAGCGACUAAGCGUACACGGUGGAUGCCCUGGCAGUCAGAGGCGAUGAAGGACGUGCUAAUCUGCGAAAAGCGCCGGCGAGGUGAUAUGAACCUUUGACCCGGCGAUGUCCGAAUGGGGAAACCCAGUGUGUUCCGACACACUAUCGUUAACUGAAUACAUAGGUUAACGAGGCGAACCGGGGGAACUGAAACAUCUAAGUACCCCGAGGAAAAGAAAUCAACCGAGAUUCCCCCAGUAGCGGCGAGCGAACGGGGAGCAGCCCGGAGUCUGAAUCAGCUUGUGUGUUAGUGGAACGGUCUGGAAAGUCCGACGGUACAGGGUGAUAGUCCCGUACACGAAAAUGCACAUGCUGUGAACUCGAAGAGUAGGGCGGGACACGUGGUAUCCUGUCUGAAUAUGGGGGGACCAUCCUCCAAGGCUAAAUACUCCUGACUGACCGAUAGUGAACCAGUACCGUGAGGGAAAGGCGAAAAGAACCCCGGCGAGGGGAGUGAAAAAGAACCUGAAACCGUGUACGUACAAGCAGUGGGAGCACCUUCGGGUGUGACUGCGUACCUUUUGUAUAAUGGGUCAGCGACUUAUAUUCUGUAGCAAGGUUAACCGUAUAGGGGAGCCGAAGGGAAACCGAGUCUUAACUGGGCGUUAAGUUGCAGGGUAUAGACCCGAAACCCGGUGAUCUAGCCAUGGGCAGGUUGAAGGUUGGGUAACACUAACUGGAGGACCGAACCGACUAAUGUUGAAAAAUUAGCGGAUGACCUGUGGCUGGGGGUGAAAGGCCAAUCAAACCGGGAGAUAGCUGGUUCUCCCCGAAAGCUAUUUAGGUAGCGCCUCGUGAACUCAUCUUCGGGGGUAGAGCACUGUUUCGGCUAGGGGGCCAUCCCGGCUUACCAACCCGAUGCAAACUACGAAUACCGAAGAAUGUUAUCACGGGAGACACACGGCGGGUGCUAACGUCCGUCGUGAAGAGGGAAACAACCCAGACCGCCAGCUAAGGUCCCAAAGUCAUGGUUAAGUGGGAAACGAUGUGGGAAGGCACAGACAGCCAGGAUGUUGGCUUAGAAGCAGCCAUCAUUUAAAGAAAGCGUAAUAGCUCACUGGUCGAGUCGGCCUGCGCGGAAGAUGUAACGGGGCUAAACCAUGCACCGAAGCUGCGGCAGCGACGCUUAUGCGUUGUUGGGUAGGGGAGCGUUCUGUAAGCCGUUGAAGGUGUGCUGUGAGGCAUGCUGGAGGUAUCAGAAGUGCGAAUGCUGACAUAAGUAACGAUAAAGCGGGUGAAAAGCCCGCUCGCCGGAAGACCAAGGGUUCCUGUCCAACGUUAAUCGGGGCAGGGUGAGUCGACCCCUAAGGCGAGGCCGAAAGGCGUAGUCGAUGGGAAACAGGUUAAUAUUCCUGUACUUGGUGUUACUGCGAAGGGGGGACGGAGAAGGCUAUGUCAGCCGGGCGACGGUUGUCCCGGUUUAAGCAUGUAGGCGGAGGUUCCAGGUAAAUCCGGUACCUUAUUAACGCUGAGGUGUGAUGACGAGGCACUACGGUGCUGAAGUGAUAAAUGCCCUGCUUCCAGGAAAAGCCUCUAAGCAUCAGGUAACACGAAAUCGUACCCCAAACCGACACAGGUGGUCAGGUAGAGAAUACCAAGGCGCUUGAGAGAACUCGGGUGAAGGAACUAGGCAAAAUGGUGCCGUAACUUCGGGAGAAGGCACGCUGAUAUGUAGGUGAAGCCCCUGCGGGCGGAGCUGAAAUCAGUCGAAGAUACCAGCUGGCUGCAACUGUUUAUUAAAAACACAGCACUGUGCAAACACGAAAGUGGACGUAUACGGUGUGACGCCUGCCCGGUGCCGGAAGGUUAAUUGAUGGGGUUAGCGGCAACGCGAAGCUCUUGAUCGAAGCCCCGGUAAACGGCGGCCGUAACUAUAACGGUCCUAAGGUAGCGAAAUUCCUUGUCGGGUAAGUUCCGACCUGCACGAAUGGCGUAAUGAUGGCCAGGCUGUCUCCACCCGAGACUCAGUGAAAUUGAACUCGCUGUGAAGAUGCAGUGUACCCGCGGCAAGACGGAAAGACCCCGUGAACCUUUACUAUAGCUUGACACUGAACACUGGUCCUUGAUGUGUAGGAUAGGUGGGAGGCUUUGAAGCGUGGACGCCAGUCUGCGUGGAGCCGCCCUUGAAAUACCACCCUUUAAUGGCUGGUGUUCUAACGUAGACCCGUGAUCCGGGUUGCGGACAGUGUCUGGUGGGUAGUUUGACUGGGGCGGUCUCCUCCCAAAGAGUAACGGAGGAGCACGAAGGUUGGCUAAUCCUGGUCGGACAUCAGGAGGUUAGUGCAAUGGCAUAAGCCAGCUUGACUGCGAGCGUGACGGCGCGAGCAGGUGCGAAAGCAGGUCAUAGUGAUCCGGUGGUUCUGAAUGGAAGGGCCAUCGCUCAACGGAUAAAAGGUACUCCGGGGAUAACAGGCUGAUACCGCCCAAGAGUUCAUAUCGACGGCGGUGUUUGGCACCUCGAUGUCGGCUCAUCACAUCCUGGGGCUGAAGUAGGUCCCAAGGGUAUGGCUGUUCGCCAUUUAAAGUGGUACGCGAGCUGGGUUUAGAACGUCGUGAGACAGUUCGGUCCCUAUCUGCCGUGGGCGCUGGAGAAUUGAGGGGGGCUGCUCCUAGUACGAGAGGACCGGAGUGGACGCAUCACUGGUGUUCGGGUUGUCAUGCCAAUGGCACUGCCCGGUAGCUAAAUGCGGAAGAGAUAAGUGCUGAAAGCAUCUAAGCACGAAACUUGCCCCGAGAUGAGUUCUCCCUGAGACUUUAAGUCUCCUGAAGGAACGUUGAAGACGACGACGUUGAUAGGUCGGGUGUGUAAGCGCAGCGAUGCGUUGAGCUAACCGAUACUAAUGAACCGUGAGGCUUAACCUU